This 73-nucleotide transfer RNA is filed under the name Chloroflexota bacterium. RNAcentral's name for it is "Chloroflexi bacterium tRNA-Met". It matches the Rfam family "tRNA". Rfam says of the family: Transfer RNA (tRNA) molecules are approximately 80 nucleotides in length. Their secondary structure includes four short double-helical elements and three loops (D, anti-codon, and T loops). Lineage: Bacteria; Bacillati; Chloroflexota. RNAcentral also lists the same sequence under 3 other names. The record is from RNAcentral.
GGCGGUAUAGCUCAGUUGGCAGAGCAGGCGGCUCAUACCCGCUAUGUCCCUGGUUCGACUCCAGGUACCGCCU